CAGCAUAAUGGAUAGCAAUAUCUAUGGUGGCGACCGGCGCACGGGUGCGUAACGCGUAUGCAACCUACCUUUAACAGGGGGAUAACACUGAGAAAUUGGUACUAAUACCCCAUAAUAUCAUAGAAGGCAUCUUUUAUGGUUGAAAAUUCCGAUGGUUAGAGAUGGGCAUGCGUUGUAUUAGCUAGUUGGUGGGGUAACGGCUCACCAAGGCGACGAUACAUAGGGGGACUGAGAGGUUAACCCCCACACUGGUACUGAGACACGGACCAGACUCC
This 275-nucleotide ribosomal RNA is filed under the name uncultured Alistipes sp. Its description in RNAcentral is "partial 16S ribosomal RNA". It matches the Rfam family "Bacterial small subunit ribosomal RNA", at positions 65 to 339 of the family's 1533-position model. The record is from RNAcentral. Lineage: Bacteria; Pseudomonadati; Bacteroidota; Bacteroidia; Bacteroidales; Rikenellaceae.